Molecule: ribosomal RNA, 499 nt
Filed under: uncultured delta proteobacterium
Lineage: Bacteria; Deltaproteobacteria
Description: bacterial SSU rRNA
Rfam family: Bacterial small subunit ribosomal RNA
Source: RNAcentral
AGAGUUUGAUCCUGGCUCAGAAUGAACGCUGGCGGCGUGCCUAACACAUGCAAGUCGCACGAGAAAGGCUGGGUUUCGGCUUGGCCGAGUAAAGUGGCGCACGGGUGAGUAACGCGUGGGUGACCUACCCUCGAAUCUGGGAUAACCUCGCGAAAGCGGGGCUAAUACCGGAUACGUCCCUUUGGGGAGAAAGCCGGCCUCUCGAAGAAGCUGGUGUUCGGGGAUGGGCCCGCGUCCUAUCAGCUAGUUGGUAGGGUAACGGCCUACCAAGGCGACGACGGGUAGCUGGUCUGAGAGGAUGAUCAGCCACACUGGCACUGGAACACGGGCCAGACUCCUACGGGAGGCAGCAGUGAGGAAUUUUGCGCAAUGGGAGCAAUCCUGACGCAGCAACGCCGCGUGGGUGAAGAAGGCCUUCGGGUCGUAAAGCCCUGUCAGGAGGGAAGAACCUCGUUUGGGCGAACAGCCUGGACGACUGACGNACCUCCAGAGGAAGCAC